AGCGCAGGCGGUUUCUUAAGUCUGAUGUGAAAGCCUUCGGCUUAACCGGAGAAGAGCAUCGGAAACUGGGAGACUUGAGUGCAGAAAAGGACAGUGGAACUCCAUGUGUAGCGGUGAGAUGCGUAGAUAUAUGGAAGAACACCAGUGGCGAAGGCGGCUGUCUGGUCUGUAACUGACGCUGAGGCUCGAAAGCAUGGGUAGCGAACA
Molecule: ribosomal RNA, 207 nt
Filed under: uncultured bacterium
Lineage: Bacteria
Description: partial 16S ribosomal RNA
Rfam family: Bacterial small subunit ribosomal RNA
Source: RNAcentral